RNAcentral lists this ribosomal RNA (910 nucleotides) under Synalpheus charon complex sp. B KMH-2014. RNAcentral describes it as "bacterial SSU rRNA". It matches the Rfam family "Eukaryotic small subunit ribosomal RNA", at positions 614 to 1498 of the family's 1831-position model. The record is from RNAcentral. Lineage: Eukaryota; Metazoa; Arthropoda; Malacostraca; Decapoda; Alpheidae.
GUUGCGGUAAAAGCUCGUAGUCUGAKUUCUGUUCCGGACUGGCCGGGGAGGUCACCGCCCGGUGCUUUCCCAGGUCAGGKUCCGAACAGYUUUACCCGCCGCUUUCAAGCGAGCGGGGGCCAAGCCGGUUCUGCCGGGAUGCUCUUCACCGAGUGUCCCGGGCGGCCGGCCGGUUCACCUUGAACAAAUGAAAGUGCUCAAGGCAGGUUAUUUCUUAUUGACACUAAAGCCCGAAUGUUAACUGCAUGGAAUGAUGGAAGAUGAUCUCGGUUCCAUUUUGCUGGGUGGGGGGAAUCCGAGUUAAUGAUAAACAGGGACUGUCGGGGGCAUCCGUACUACGACGCGAGAGGUGAAAUUCAGUGACCGUCGUAGGACGAACAACAGCGAAAGCAUUUGCCAAGAAUGUCUUCGUUGAUCAAGAACGAUAGUUAGAGGAUCGAAGGCGAUCAUAUACCGCCCUAGUUCUAACCCUAAACGAUGCUGACCAGCUAUUCGCCGUCGUUAUUCCCAUGACGUGGCGAGACGCCCCCGGGAAACCUCGAGUCUUUGAGUUCCGGGGGUAGUAUGGUUGCAAAACUGAAACUUAAAGGAAUUGACGGAAGGGCACCACCAGGAGUGGAGCCUGCGGCUUAAUUUGACUCAACACGGGGAACCUCACCAGGCCCGGACACUAGAAGGAUUGACAGAUUAAGAGCUCUUUCUCAAUUUGGUGGGUGGUGGUGCAUGGCCGUUCUUAGUUGGUGGAGUGAUUUGUCUGGUUAAUUCCGGUAACGAACGAGACUCUGGCCUACUAACUAGUGGGUGGGUGUUCCGGUAAGGGGCCCCACCCGACAAUGUCUUCUUAGAGGGAUGAGCAGCGAGUAUAGCUGCAGGAGAUUGAGCAAUAACAGGUCUGUGAUGCCCUUAGAAG